ACGGACCCGCAAGGGUCAGUGGCGGACGGGUGAGUAAUGAAUCGCUAAUGUACCUCGAAGUCUGGGAUAGCCAGUCGAAAGAUUGGGUAAUACCAGAUGAGACCACGGUAGGGCAUCCUACAGUGCUCAAAGGGCAACCGCUUUGGGAGCAGGCGAUUUUGUAUCAGCUAGUUGGUGAGGUAACGGCUCACCAAGGCGACGACGCAUAGCCGGGCUGAGAGGUCGGCCGGCCACAUUGGGACUGAGACACUGCCCAGACUCCUACGGGGGGCUGCAGUAACGAAUCUUCCACAAUGCACGCAAGUGUGAUGGAGCGACGCCGCGUGUGGGACGAAGUCCUUCGGGAUGUAAACCACUGUCAGGGGAAAGAAAGUUCUGAUCUACCCCAGAGGAAGAGACGGCUAACUCUGUGCCAGCAGCCGCGGUAAGACAGAGGUCUCGAGCGCUAGGCGGAAUCACUGGGCUUAAAGCGUGUGUAGGGUGGAUGUCUAAGUACCUUGUGAAAUCCCACGGCUUAACCGUGGAAUUGCUUGGUAUACUGGAUGUCUUGAGCCACUUAGGGGCAACCGGAACAAAUGGUGGAGCGGUGAAAUGCGUAGAUAUCAUUUGGAACGCCAAUGGUGAAAACAGGUUGCUGGGAGUGUGCUGACACUGAGACACGAAAGCCAGGGGAGCAAACGGGAUUAGAUACCCCGGUAGUCCUGGCCAUAAACGAUGUCCACUAGAUCGUGGCGCCUCUGACGGCGUCAUGGUCGAAGCAAAAGUGCUAAGUGGACCGCCUGGGAAGUACGGUCGCAAGGCUAAAACUCAAAGAAAUUGACGGGGGCUCACACAAGCGGUGGAGCAUGUGGUUCAAUUCGAAGCACGCGCAGAACCUUACCUGGGCUUGACAUGCUAG
RNAcentral lists this ribosomal RNA (898 nucleotides) under uncultured bacterium. RNAcentral's name for it is "bacterial SSU rRNA". It matches the Rfam family "Bacterial small subunit ribosomal RNA", at positions 66 to 992 of the family's 1533-position model. The record is from RNAcentral.